GACGAACGCUGGCGGCGUGCCUAACACAUGCAAGUCGAACGGACGAAGGGAGCUUGCUCCCUGAGUUAGUGGCGAACGGGUGAGUAACGCGUGAGUAACCUGCCUCACACUGGGGGAUAACAGUCAGAAAUGACUGCUAAUACCGCAUAAGCGCACAGCAUCGCAUGAUGCAGUGUGAAAAGGAGCAAUUCGCUUCAGGAUGGCCUCGCGUCCAAUUAGGUAGAUGGUGAGGUAACGGCCCACCAUGCCGACGAUUGGUAGCCGGACUGAGAGGUUGAACGGCCACAUUGGGACUGAGACACGGCCCAG
RNAcentral lists this ribosomal RNA (309 nucleotides) under uncultured bacterium. RNAcentral's name for it is "bacterial SSU rRNA". It matches the Rfam family "Bacterial small subunit ribosomal RNA", at positions 28 to 334 of the family's 1533-position model. The record is from RNAcentral.